CCGGCGGGGUCGUGGGGGUCGUGGGGCAGCAUGGCGGCGUCCAGGAGGCAGGACAGUCGUGCUUUUCCAAGAGAUGCAGGUGUGUAGGCGUGAUGACACAAGUCAUGAAAUAUUUGGCUGGAGAAUCACACAGAAUGAACAUCAUUUCUGACCUCCUCCGUUAUGGUAAGGCUCUCCAGAUGCACAUGUUUGUUGAAAAAGUGCUGAGGAGACUUUUUCCUAAAGUUCCACAUGGCCAAGAAAAGGGGGCACCAAUGACUCUGGCCUCGGAAAUACCCCCUAAGAAAGUGGCGCCUGAGACGGUGACAGGCUGGAGCGCCCCUCCUUUGACAGAUGGCGACGCCAAGACCCAGCCUGGAAGACGGCUCUACACCGUGAGUUUGCCUCCGGAGGGCUACGUUCCCGCUCCGCCAGAGCCACACAGCUGGACAGAGUCCGAGAACUCCGCCAGCAGUGAUGGCACGGGAGAUCAGGAUCCUCAGGAUCAACAAAAGAGAAGAAGAAUUAGAAAACAUAAAUCCAAGAAAAAAUUUAAAAACCCCAGUAACAUUCAUGUAGAACAAGUGGAAUUAGAGAAACAGCAGAGUCUUUUACAAGAAAAAUUGCAGCCACGGCUUGCAGAUGGCCCUACAAUAAGCAAAAAUAAAAAAAGGAAACUGAAAAAGAAGCGGCAGAUUAGAAGGAAGAAGGCAGCUGGCUCCCCAACACAAGCCCCUGGCCUCAGCUUCAUGUACCAGCCGGAGGAGAGCGGCAGUGAGCGGGAGCACGGGAGGGAGUCCGAUGCAGAGGAAGUCCCAGCCGCCAGCGAGGAGGGUGCUACAGAUGACAACGAGGAAGAUGUCAGAGAUGCCAGAGGGGAAGGUGUUAACAGUACCAAUGAAAAGGCAGAUAGUAUCCUAAACUUUUUGAAGUCAACACAAGAAAUUUAUGUUUAUGAUGGUCUCUCCGAGGAUGCGGACCCGGCUGUCUUUAUGGAAACCACUGAGGAGCUACUUAAACGUCUUGAAACUCAUAGCAUGUCUCCCUCGGAUGUGUUCCUUCUGGAUCACAUGAAAACGCUGUUACUUUCGCGAGAUACUGAAAGAUUGAAGAGCGCCGUGGACCUGUUCCCAGAACAUUGCGUGAUGCCGCCCGACCCUGCCCUCCUCCCUCCGUGUCCUUAAGAGAUGUCUGUCCCACUGAGUAGAACCUUCCGGAGGCGACUGAGACAAGAUUUGUUAUUGGUUCUGGAGGCCCGUCAACUUGCGCCUAGCUGCUGUGAAGUGUCCCCAGCUUAACAGAAGCUGCUGAGUGAGCCACGGCCAGGUCUGGUGGGUCCACUGCUCCCCCGGGGCCGCUGCCUCAGAUGUGAAUGAUCCUGACAGAGCAGGGCUUGUCGUAAACCAGCACACCGUCUUCACACAGCUGAGAACAGGUGCAAGCCAGUACCUACAGGAGGCGUCUGGGGGCCACACCUUGAGGUGGGCCCACCGCCUUCACGGAGAUGUCACCCGCCGCCACCUCCCUAAUGCGUAAGUCAGAGGAAGAUAUUGGCAUGCUCAGAGGCCCCAGGGUCACGUCCACUUCACCGCAGGAUGAGGGACCACUGGGCGAGGGGUCAUGUCAAUCUGCAGCUGCCUUUCUGAUACACUGGGUGUAAUCCUCUCUCAAGUGCUUCUCCGUUAAUAACACGUGUUUGUUGAUUGAAAAUAGACUAAAUAUUGACACACUCAUGAUUUUUCUAUUCUGAACAUCAGUUCGAGUCUUUUAAUGAUGACCCACCUCCAGCCUUUCCGUGCCCAGCAGGCAGAUGCGCUGUGGACCGAGGGAAACGGAUGUGCAGAGGACUCGACCCUCAACUUGGCUUUGUCCCAUUCUCAGCACAGAGUCCCUGCAGACUGACUCCUGUGCUCUCCUUGGGUCUCACCUGCGGACGGCUUGUCUGUCCACCCGCUGACCACACCCUAGAAGACAAGGGAGGGGACGUGACUGCACGGGCGGAUGGUCGGGGUUCAUCAGUUUUGCGUUUCACCCCAAUUUCAAAAGAAAAGCUCCUCUUCUGGAAAACGAGCAAACACCAUGUCUCCGACUUGUCAGCAGAGAUGCGAGGGUCAUUUAUCCCUCCUGGCUCAAGGUUGGGAAUAAUUGGGUCACUUUGUAUUUUACAAUAGUGCAAAUUCAGUCCAUCUAAUUUAUUUUCCGUAAACCGUGGCCCACGGUUAAGACAAAGACGGAAACGUGGGAAUGGGUGUUUGCCGCUGGUGUUAAGACGACUGAGCCCAGAGGGACACCUGGGCUCCUCCAGGCCCGUCAGCACUUCUCGGCAGUCCUGACAUCCCUCGUCACAUCCCUGGAGACCCGAGGCAGUGACAGCACGUGCACGCGGGCGUCCCCUGCCCUGCCCGCCCGCCACUGCCGUGUUCCCAGAAUAACUGCCCCGAGUCCACACGCACCCCUCGGCCAGUUCUGGGUUUUUCUUCUCUGUCUGGUUCCUGCUUGCGCCCUGUCUUCCCUGGGGACACAUUCUUCAGAGAAUCUGAUGAAAGCACCAGACCUUCUCCAGAAUAAGAAAUGUGCACUGUCACCCCACCACACACACACGAACGUGGUGGCACCUUUAAAGAGGCUGCAGAUUCCCCCAAACCCGUUCAACGGUGUGUUGACUUUCCGCUUGUGCAUGACAGAUGGCCACACGCCUGUGGAUCCCGUGUCCAUGGAUCAGAGCCAGGCGCAGCCCCACUGGCACUGUGCUCAGGGUCUUGCGGGGCUGCAUGCCCUCUGGAGUUGGGUCACCUUCCGGGCUCUCGUGGCUGUUGGCAGAAUCGGUUCCUGUGGUCAGAGGCUGAGGUCCUGGUUUUCUUUCUGGCUGUCGGCCAGGAUGGCUCAGCUCCUUGAGGCCUCCCGGCCUGGCUCGACUCCUCCAAGGCCAGCGGAGAACCCGGGCAGGCCCAGGCCCUCUGGAGGCUCCCCUGGUAGAGCCAGGCCCCCAGGAUGCUCUCCCUCUGCUUCGUUUACACUGACUGCUUAGGGACGUCAGGAUGUCGCAUCUGCUCACCGCUGCGUGCAGGCCGGCUUGUCUUGCAGUCUCCCAUCCCCUUUCCACCGCACGGCCUCCAGCCCAGGGUUUCACUCUGGCUGAACUUCUCGUCAGGCCAGGGCUUCAGACAUCACCACAGAAACUGAGUUUUCCAAAGUGGAUCGUAGUUUUCGGAGAACACCCCUCACACACAUGCACUUGCACACAUGCAUGGACACACGCACACACAUGAACACGUGCCUGCCUGCACACUCACACACAGCGCAGGCUCCUCGUCUCAGCGGGGCAGUGCCGUGUCUGAUGUGAGCAUGCUUCAGGUCACCCUGUAGACAACGUACAGCGCAGGCUCAGCUCAGCUUCCUUUAAAAAGAACGCACUGCUCACUGCUCUCGGCAGCGGCUCUCUGCAUGUGGUCAUCACGCUGCUCUGGGGCCAGCCACUCAGCCUCACAUCACAGCCUCACCAACACUGGUCUGCGGGGUGGGCAGGUCCACACUUCCCACUGAUGCACCCGGCCAUCCAUCUCCACCCCACUCUUCCGAUCAGGUGGCCCGCAUGUCACACAAUGGGGUCCCACGUCCCCUGGCCUCCGAGGGUCAGGCAGGGCGGACACAAUAGAAGACCAGAGGGAGGGCGAAUGGAGUCAGGCGCACGGCCCUCUGUGGGCACUGCCCAGGGCCAGCUGCUCAAGGGGCUGCUCCAGCCUGGCCCGCAUGGGCCCCGGCCCACCCACCACACUUCAGCAGCUGAAAUGGGCUGUGCUCGGUUGUCCUCAUCGUUCUGCCAGAUCCAGGGCGACACACUCCCCAUGCUGGCGGUCGGAUGCUCUUCAGGAUUUCUCAGAUUGUACAGAACAUAUAUCUGUUUGUUAUAGUACACAUAGGUGCCUGUGUGUGGAUAUAUGCAUUGUAGUACACGUACAUGUUGAUGGAUAGUGCAUUCAUGCAUGAUAGUACACGUGUCCAAUAUGUUGUACUAAAGUAAAUACGUGUCACUAUAUGUGCAUUAUAGUACUCAUAUGUCUAAAUUAUAUGUGUGAUACAGUACAGUGUGAAUUAUAGUACACAUAUCUGUAUAUACACACACACCUAUGUUAGGGUCCAUGUCUGCCUGUGUAUAUGCACAUAUAUUAUAGAACACGUAGAUGUCUGUAUACACACACGUACCAUAGCACACACAGGUGUCUACAUACAUGCACACCUGUGUAUCAGAGCACACUUGGUUGUCUGUGCACGUGUGUGCACAUGGACAUCAGUACGUAUUUUGCAGUGCUCCUAAGCAGAGUUUGAGCCCUGCUCUGAUCAAACCUGUAGCGCCCUGCCUGAACACACGGGCGGUCUGCUCAUGCCCAUGAGUGACACGUGUGCUCGCACAGGCCAGGCGGGCCUCGCCCAGGAUGGCGUCAGCACAGGGGGUGGGGGUGGGGCAUCUGGGUCUUGGGAACCCUUUGAGGUUGGAACUGGGAGGAGCAAGGUGUCUGCCACGGGCUUCCCCAGCGGCCCAGGUGGGUGUCGGCACAGUCCGCGCCCGGUCAGUUGCUGCUGCUGUCGUGCUCUGGAGGCAGAAGAUCUCUGGGGCCAGGCAUCUGUGGUCAUCACUCGACAGGCCUGGCUUCUCCCCAGGCUGCCUGCCGGUCGUCGUCAGGGCCUGGCUCCGCUCACCUCCUUUCCCAAGGGAGAGCCUGCCAGAAGCUUCUCUCUCUCGCAGCCUGCCUGUGUCCUCGGAGGGGAUCCUGAAGCAGCACCAGGACUGCACGUGCAGCUGCUGUGAAAGUGGUGGCUCUUCUUGAACCCAGUCGCUGUUUCUGUGUGUCACGUCUGUUCCCAGGCAUCUCAGGAAGGCCAGGGAAGCCCGAGGCUCCCCCCCUGGAGAUCAGCCCCAGGAAGAUCUCCCCUUCACACUUUACCACCACCAGCCCUGCUGGAAAUGUGCCCGUCCUAAAAUAACAAAGGUUUCCUUAGGGGAUUAGAACAUUCCAGCGUGAACGCAGACUGCAACAAUGGCAGCUGCCAGGAGCCAGCCGUCCAGGCAACUGUCACAGAGCAGCAUCACGCCGUGUCUGCGGACCACGGGGCACCCCGUCCUCGUCCUCACGUGCUCUGCCGUGAAACCCACCUUCUCAUCUCUCGAGGCUCCUGCUGCAAACUGAGACCUUGUCCAAUUUGCACUCGUCUUCACGAUGGAGACGAAGAGGAAGAGGGGAGCUGAUGUUCCCUGAGUGCCAUUCCCGCCAUGUGCAGGCGCAGGGUGAACUCCUCGCACGUGGUGUCUUCCUGUUCUCACAAACUUCCGUCCAGGUGUCAGCACCUGUCACCGUGCCCACUUCGUGGGUGGAGAAAUGUCUGUUUGAUCUGUACCGAGUCACUGUCGCCCACGAGCAAUGACGUUUCAGAGUCCCCACCGCCGAUGUCAACCCUGCCACCAUCCCGGCUCACAGAGGCACACGUCAGACUCACUGGCGGUUUUCUCCUGCUUCUGGCAACAGCCGAUGUCCGUGGCGUAGACUCAGACCCGCGGUGUCAGCUGCCUGGUGACGACACCACGAGGACUGGGCAGAGGGCACACAGCGCCCGUCUGGAGGGCUCCGACCCCAAGGGACGUGCUCGUCUCAGACGCUGUCACCUUUUUCAGUGGCUGGGCAAGGCCCGCACCAUCUGAACUUUCCACGGGGGCACCGAGACCCAAGACCCCCACUCACGAGCUGUUUUCCAGGUUCCCCGGUCUGGACACGGAAGAUACAAAUAGCAUCAAAGACACACUCACAGCUGGCGGGACAGACAGACCUGGGAACAACCGUCCGUCUGAGUAUUGUAAUUCUGGUCGUCUGCCGGCCUGGAGACCCUCCGAGUGAACCUCGAGGACCACAGUGGAAGCCUGCUUACAGAAUAAACGCCCCUUCAGCUCUUGUUACGGAAAAGAUGGUUUUCAUGGCUUUGUUGGCUAAAGAAUGCCUUGGCAAACUGAUGAAAGAAAAAUGAGAACUUCCGGCAUGUGCUCAUUAGUAAAGUUGACUGUGUUUUAAUUAUUCUUCUGAACCUCCUUCCAUGCGAGCAGAAGAGCACAUGCUGUCUGUGCUCCCGGGACUUGAGCCCAUGAGGUGGCCCGUCGGGUGGGAGCGCAGAGACGAGAGGAGCCAUGAGGGGAGCCCAGCAGUUAGGAGCAGGCAGAGGAAGGACGAGCCCACAGAGAACCGGGCGCUGCCCCUCGCUGCCACAUCACGUACACAGACGGCAGCUGAGCCGGGUGCUGCAUCCUCGCCAUCCUGGCGGCUACAGGUCCGGGGUGAGGUCCCAGCAGGGCUGAUGUCUGCUGGGGGUGCUCCUCCUGGCUUCCUGCAUCCUCACGCACUCACCCCGGGGGCUCUGUCGUCUCUCCCCUCCAGGGACUCCAGCUCUGUGACCUCAUUUGACGUAACCUCCUCCCUGGAGACCCAUCCUCAGUCCAGUCCCGGUGGGGUCAGGGCUCCAGCUUCUGAGAGCUGGGUGCACGGUUCCGUCCAUACAGGAGGAGCGACAAUCAGAAGAGGAAGAGAACCGGAGACCGCCGUGCCAGGGACGAGGAUGGAAGGAGUCUGGGGCCAAGGGGAUGAAAAUGAAAACAGUCGUGAGUGUUUGACUGUCUGAUCCGGGGAGGAAACCUGCACAGAAGGAAAGUUUGCUCUGACCGUCCUUGCAGAUCAGAUGGGGAAGGGCUUCAGAAGUUUGAAAACUGACAGCUUUGCCAACAAGGAAACGGGUGCUCCUGUGGCCAGACGGGGACUCGGCACACCACCCGGAAGCAUCGUAAAUACUGAUAGGCACAUACACACAGACCAAGCUACAUGCUCCUCAAUGAUGUCUCAGAGCAUAAGGGGAUCCUGGGACCAGAAGCAUAAGGACUGAUGCUCAGACCCUUCUGCACUAAACUAACCAGACUCCUUGGAGAAACGGCUGAUUCCAGGCGUGGAGCAGGGAAAGCGCGAGGAGGAAGUUUGGAUUGAAGGUUUUUCCAACAAUGGGAAAGUUGUUUUUGAGCAAGUUCCAGUCUGCCAGUAGAAUUCGUGGUGUUUUCUGGUGAAUCACAAGAUGCUGGCGGCUGUGGAAGCUCAUCCUCGUGCUCGGAGGAUGUCGUUGCUCCGUCUGGUCCUCCGCAGGCAUCAGUGUAGCUGGCGUGUCUGUCCCUUUGUUAACACGAUUUGCACAGACGUCCAGCCCAGGGUCAGCUCACCGUCACUGGUUCACUUGGACUCUCCUCUCAUCGCAGAUUCUGGAUUUUCUGGAGACCUGGAACUCAGCAUCCGCCUGGGAAUCGCCGAGCCCACCAUCAUGAGAAAUAAUCACGGGCGCAUCGUGAUGGCUUCUCUGCGGGUGGGGCCCAUGACUCGGAAAAGCUGUGAACCAGAAUCCUCAUAAUAACUCACCUGCCGUGGGGUCAGCACAUAGGAGCUCGAGUGACUCUCGGAGAUGAGAUUAGAUCUCGCCAGAGGGUGGACGGGCUGCCCCUGUUUCCCCACCCACAAACCAGGAUGAUAGCAGCACCGGACAGGCCUUGAGAAGGGUCCAGUGAGAUGGCCAGGUAAGAUGUUGAGGGCUCCGGGCACCUGCCCGCUGACGCUGGGCUGCUUUGCUGCAUUGGGCUGAGCUUCCACUUCAGAGACUCAGAUGCUGGGAAACCAGGCCCGGGGCUGCAUCUCGUUGCCUCCAGGGUACCCAGCACGGUGGAUGCUCCUGGAGCUGCUCGGGAGACAGUCUGCUGAGUGGAUUCAUUGCCUGUGUGGUUAAUAGCACGUACCACAAGUUCCCUGUCACUGCUUUCCUUCUUGAUAAACGGUGUAGAUGUUGGGAUGGGGGCCCAGGCCCCGAAUUGUCUCCUGGUGACCCCCAGCGAAGGAGUGGAAAUGAGGACGACCUGACCCAGGCGUCUGCCUCACCUCGUGGACCCGAGAGAAGUGAGCGUCGUGAGAUACCACUCACACGUUUGGAGUCACACAUUAGUUUCCUCUGAGACGCUGCUCUUAUCUUGGGAUGGAAGCACUCUCCGAAACCAAAUUUGAGUCUGUAUUUCAUUAAAUGUCAAUUUAGGCAAAUUUCUCAAUUUUAAUCUUUGUGAGAGCUGAAGGUUUUUCCCACACUUUCCUUGUCACUCUGAUAUGAUAAUUCUUUUUAAAUGUGUGGAGAAUCACUCUGAAUACCUCAGGUUGCUGCAGGUAGGGAGAAAAAUUCUAAUUUUUUCUCCUUUUAAUUACAGCUUUUGAA
Molecule: RNA transcript, 8250 nt
Organism: Equus quagga
Lineage: Eukaryota; Metazoa; Chordata; Mammalia; Perissodactyla; Equidae
Gene: ERICH1
Gene name: glutamate rich 1
Exons: 11
Source: RefSeq, a predicted model, not a curated record